Molecule: ribosomal RNA, 270 nt
Filed under: Shigella flexneri
Lineage: Bacteria; Pseudomonadati; Pseudomonadota; Gammaproteobacteria; Enterobacterales; Enterobacteriaceae
Description: partial 16S ribosomal RNA
Rfam family: Bacterial small subunit ribosomal RNA
Source: RNAcentral
AGGUGGCAAGAGAAAGGAGGGGGAGCGYGGGCCUCUUGCCAUUGGAGGGCCCAGAUGGGAUUAGCUAGUGGGUGGGGGAAGGGUUCACCUAGGCGACGAUCCCUAGCUGGUCUGAGAGGAUGAACAGCCACACUGGAACUGAGACACGGUCCAGACUCCUACGGGAGGCAGGAGUGGGAAAUAUUGCACAAUGGGCGCAAGCCUGAUGCAGCCAUGCCGCGUGUAUGAAGAAGGCCUUCGGGUUGGAAAGUACUUUCAGCGGGGAGGGAG